RNAcentral lists this small nucleolar RNA (107 nucleotides) under Theobroma cacao (cacao). RNAcentral's name for it is "Plant small nucleolar RNA R71". It matches the Rfam family "Plant small nucleolar RNA R71". From Rfam's summary of the family: R71 is a member of the C/D box family of snoRNAs containing the C (UGAUGA) and D (CUGA) box motifs. Multiple nearly identical copies of this snoRNA have been identified in Arabidopsis, and it is thought to function as a 2'-O-ribose methylation guide for 18S ribosomal RNA. The record is from Rfam by way of RNAcentral. Lineage: Eukaryota; Viridiplantae; Streptophyta; Magnoliopsida; Malvales; Malvaceae.
AGACCAUGAUGAGGGCAAUGCCUAAGUAGAUCUUUGUAUCUUUCCUAGGUUAUGUACAACAAUUCAAAAUUUAGCUGCAUGAAUGAUGCGAUAUCAUUCCUCAUUUU